GCUGGCGGCGUGCCUAAUACAUGCAAGUCGAACGCUUCUUUCCUCCCGAGUGCUUGCACUCAAUUGGAAAGAGGAGUGGCGGACGGGUGAGUAGCACGUGGGUAACCUACCCAUCAGAGGGGGAUAACACUUGGAAACAGGUGCUAAUACCGCAUAACAGUUUAUGCCGCAUGGCAUAAGAGUGAAAGGCGCUUUCGGGUGUCGCUGAUGGAUGGACCCGCGGUGCAUUAGCUAGUUGGUGAGGUAACGGCUCGCCAAGGCUACGAUGCAUAGCCGACCUGAGAGGGUGAUCGGCCACACUGGGACUGAGACACGGCCCAGACUCCUACGGGAGGCAGCAGUAGGGAAUCUUCGGCAAUGGACGGAAGUCUGACCGAGCAACGCCGCGUGAGUGAAGAAGGUUUUCGGAUCGUAAAACUCUGUUGUUAGAGAAGAACAAGGACGUUAGUAACUGAACGUCCCCUGACGGUAUCUAACCAGAAAGCCACGGCUAACUACGUGCCAGCAGCCGCGGUAAUACGUAGGUGGCAAGCGUUGUCCGGAUUUAUUGGGCGUAAAGCGAGCGCAGGCGGUUUCUUAAGUCUGAUGUGAAAGCCCCCGGCUCAACCGGGGAGGGUCAUUGGAAACUGGGAGACUUGAGUGCAGAAGAGGAGAGUGGAAUUCCAUGUGUAGCGGUGAAAUGCGUAGAUAUAUGGAGGAACACCAGUGGCGAAGGCGGCUCUCUGGUCUGUAACUGACGCUGAGGCUCGAAAGCGUGGGGAGCAAACAGGAUUAGAUACCCUGGUAGUCCACGCCGUAAACGAUGAGUGCUAAGUGUUGGAGGGUUUCCGCCCUUCAGUGCUGCAGCAAACGCAUUAAGCACUCCGCCUGGGGAGUACGACCGCAAGGUUGAAA
RNAcentral lists this ribosomal RNA (894 nucleotides) under uncultured Enterococcus sp. RNAcentral describes it as "bacterial SSU rRNA". It matches the Rfam family "Bacterial small subunit ribosomal RNA", at positions 35 to 899 of the family's 1533-position model. Lineage: Bacteria; Bacillati; Bacillota; Bacilli; Lactobacillales; Enterococcaceae. The record is from RNAcentral.